RNAcentral lists this transfer RNA (73 nucleotides) under Candidatus Pantoea carbekii. Its description in RNAcentral is "tRNA-Ala". Lineage: Bacteria; Pseudomonadati; Pseudomonadota; Gammaproteobacteria; Enterobacterales; Erwiniaceae. The record is from RNAcentral.
UGGAGCUAAGCGGGAUCGAACCGCUGACCUCCUGCGUGCAAAGCAGGUGCUCUACCAAUUGAGCUAUAGCCCC